GUAUUUUAACUGUGCUAAGGUAGCAUAAUCAUUUGUCUUUUAAUUGAGGGCUGGAAUGAAGGGUUGGACGAGGUAUUAGCUUUCUUUAAUUUAAUUUGAAGAAUUUAAUUUUUGAGUUAAAAAGCUUAAAUUUAUUUAUGGGACGAGAAGACCCUAUAGAUCUUUAUAGUUUUAUAUUUUAAUAAUUUGGGGAUUUAUAUAUUUUAAGUAAAUAAACUAUUUUGUUGGGGUGACUGUAGAAUUUUAAUAACUUCUAUUUUGUAUUUUCAUUAAUUAAUGUUUUUGUGAUCCAUAAUUUAUGAUUAGAAGAUUAAGUUACCUUAGGGAUAACAGCGUAAUUUCCUCGGAGAGUUCAUAUUGAUGAGGGAGUUUGCGACCUCGAUGUUGGAUUAAAAUAAGUUAU
This 403-nucleotide ribosomal RNA is filed under the name Triatoma costalimai. RNAcentral's name for it is "partial 16S ribosomal RNA". Lineage: Eukaryota; Metazoa; Arthropoda; Insecta; Hemiptera; Reduviidae. The record is from RNAcentral.